AUACGUAGGGUCCGAGCGUUGUCCGGAAUUAUUGGGCGUAAAGGGCUCGUAGGCGGUUUGUCGCGUCGGGAGUGAAAACCAUGAGCUUAACUCAUGGCUUGCUUCCGAUACGGGCAGACUAGAGGUAUGCAGGGGAGAGUGGAAUUCCUGGUGUAGCGGUGAAAUGCGCAGAUAUCAGGAGGAACACCGGUGGCGAAGGCGGUUCUCUGGGCAUUACCUGACGCUGAGGAGCGAAAGUGUGGGGAGCGAACAGGAUUAGAUACCCUGGUGGUCCACACCGUAAACGUUGGGCGCUAGGUGUGGGAUCCAUUCCACGGGUUCCGUGCCGCAGCUAACGCAUUAAGCGCCCCGCCUGGGGAGUACGGCCGCAAGGCUAAA
RNAcentral lists this ribosomal RNA (378 nucleotides) under uncultured bacterium. RNAcentral's name for it is "bacterial SSU rRNA". It matches the Rfam family "Bacterial small subunit ribosomal RNA", at positions 523 to 898 of the family's 1533-position model. The record is from RNAcentral.